UUGGCGCAAUGAAGUUUGCUGGUGAAACGCCCGAUUUGUGCUGCCUUAGUGCGAAAACUCAAAAAUACAAUGCCUUUUUCCAAAUGACUUCAUUUGGGGAGGAAAUUAUUGAAGAACAAGGAUAUAAUCCGGCAUUUAAGGUAAUUUACGU
Long non-coding RNA from Drosophila navojoa, 151 nucleotides. Lineage: Eukaryota; Metazoa; Arthropoda; Insecta; Diptera; Drosophilidae. The record is from RefSeq and is a predicted model, not a curated record.